This 459-nucleotide ribosomal RNA is filed under the name uncultured bacterium. RNAcentral describes it as "partial 16S ribosomal RNA". It matches the Rfam family "Bacterial small subunit ribosomal RNA", at positions 338 to 795 of the family's 1533-position model. The record is from RNAcentral.
CCUACGGGAGGCAGCAGUGAGGAAUAUUGGUCAAUGGUCGGGAGACUGAACCAGCCAAGCCGCGUGAGGGAGGAAGGUACAGAGUAUCGUAAACCUCUUUUGUCAGGGAACAAAGGCGGGGACGUGUCCCCGGAUGAGUGUACCUGAAGAAAAAGCAUCGGCUAACUCCGUGCCAGCAGCCGCGGUAAUACGGCGGAUGCGAGUGUGAUCGUGAUUUAGUGGGUUUAAAGGGUGCGCGGGAGGUCUGUUAAGUCAGAGGUCAAAGCCCGGGGCUCAACCCCGGCCCGCCGUUGAAACUGGUAGUCUCGAGUUGGAGAGAAGUAUGCGGAAUGCGCGGUGUAGCGGUGAAAUGCAUAGAUAUCGCGCAGAACUCCGAUUGCGAAGGCAGCAUGCCGGCUCCACACUGACGCUGAGGCACGAAAGCGUGGGUAUCGAACAGGAUUAGAUACCCUGGUAGUC